AUACGUAGGGGGCGAGCGUUGUCCGGAAUGAUUGGGCGUAAAGGGCGCGUAGGCGGCCCGGUAAGUCUGGAGUGAAAGUCCUGCUUUUAAGGUGGGAAUUGCUUUGGAUACUGUCGGGCUUGAGUGCAGGAGAGGUAGGGGGAAUUCCCAGUGUAGCGGUGAAAUGCGUAGAGAUUGGGAGGAACACCAGUGGCGAAGGCGACUUACUGGACUGUAACUGACGCUGAGGCGCGAAAGUGUGGGGAGCAAACAGGAUUAGAUACCCUGGUAGUCCACACUGUAAACGAUGAAUGCUAGGUGUAGGGGGUAUCGACCCCUUCUGUGCCGCAGUUAACACAAUAAGCAUUCCGCCUGGGGAGUACGGCCGCAAGGUUGAAACUCAAAGGAAUUGACGGGG
RNAcentral lists this ribosomal RNA (397 nucleotides) under uncultured bacterium. RNAcentral describes it as "partial 16S ribosomal RNA". It matches the Rfam family "Bacterial small subunit ribosomal RNA", at positions 523 to 918 of the family's 1533-position model. The record is from RNAcentral.